Molecule: ribosomal RNA, 238 nt
Filed under: Klebsiella pneumoniae
Lineage: Bacteria; Pseudomonadati; Pseudomonadota; Gammaproteobacteria; Enterobacterales; Enterobacteriaceae
Description: partial 23S ribosomal RNA
Rfam family: Bacterial large subunit ribosomal RNA
Source: RNAcentral
UCCAGGCAAAUCCGGAUAAUCAAGGCUGAGGUGUGAUGACGAGGCACUACGGUGCUGAAGUAACAAAUGCCCUGCUUCCAGGAAAAGCCUCUAAGCAUCAGGUAACAUCAAAUCGUACCCCAAACCGACACAGGUGGUCAGGUAGAGAAUACCAAGGCGCUUGAGAGAACUCGGGUGAAGGAACUAGGCAAAAUGGUGCCGUAACUUCGGGAGAAGGCACGCUGGUGUGUAGGUGAAG